Molecule: ribosomal RNA, 333 nt
Filed under: uncultured Pseudomonas sp.
Lineage: Bacteria; Pseudomonadati; Pseudomonadota; Gammaproteobacteria; Pseudomonadales; Pseudomonadaceae
Description: bacterial SSU rRNA
Rfam family: Bacterial small subunit ribosomal RNA
Source: RNAcentral
UGUCGUCAGCUCGUGUCGUGAGAUGUUGGGUUAAGUCCGUAACGAGCGCAACCCUUGUCCUUAGUUACCUAGCACGUUAUGGUGGGCACUCUAAGGAGACUGCCGGUGACAAACCGGAGGAAGGUGGGGAUGACGUCAAGUCAUCAUGGCCCUUACGGCCUGGGCUACACACGUGCUACAAUGGUCGGUACAAAGGGUUGCCAAGCCGCGAGGUGGAGCUAAUCCCAUAAAACCGAUCGUAGUCCGGAUCGCAGUCUGCAACUCGACUGCGUGAAGUCGGAAUCGCUAGUAAUCGUGAAUCAGAAUGUCACGGUGAAUACGUUCCCGGGCCUU